RNAcentral lists this ribosomal RNA (253 nucleotides) under uncultured bacterium. Its description in RNAcentral is "partial 16S ribosomal RNA". It matches the Rfam family "Bacterial small subunit ribosomal RNA", at positions 524 to 776 of the family's 1533-position model. The record is from RNAcentral.
UACGUAGGGUGCGAGCGUUGUCCGGAAUUAUUGGGCGUAAAGAGCUCGUAGGCGGUUUGUUGCGUCGGCUGUGAAAUCCCGAGGCUCAACCUCGGGUCUGCAGUCGAUACGAGCAAACUAGAGUGUUGCAGGGGAGACUGGAAUUCCUGGUGUAGCGGUGAAAUGCGCAGAUAUCAGGAGGAACACCGGUGGCGAAGGCGGGUCUCUGGGCAACAACUGACGCUGAGGCGCGAAAGCCAGGGGAGCGAACGGG